CUCGGCACUCUCGCCGUGACUUGUUACCGAUGAAGCGCACACUGUCCCUCGGGAUCGAGGGAAGCGCCAAUAAGAUCGGUGUGGGGGUGGUGGACCAGAGCGGUACGGUGCUCUCUAACGUACGCGAAACCUACAUCACCCCACCUGGGACCGGGUUCCUGCCGCGCGAGACGGCCAUUCAUCACUCCCAGCACGUGCUGCAAGUCGUACAGCGGGCCAUGCACGAUGCCGCGGUGACGCCGGCCGACAUCGAUAUCAUCUCGUAUACCAAGGGCCCUGGCAUGGGCGGGCCGCUCACUGUCGGCUGCACCGUGGCCAAAACACUGUCCCUCCUGUGGGGGAAGCCGCUGGUGGGUGUCAACCACUGCGUCGGGCACAUUGAGAUGGGCCGCGUCGUCACGAAGAGCGAAAACCCUGUGGUGCUGUACGUCAGCGGGGGCAACACGCAAGUCAUCGCCUACGCUGAUCACCGCUACCGCAUUUUCGGUGAGACGAUCGACAUUGCCGUGGGCAACUGCCUGGACCGUGUUGCCCGCCUCCUCGACAUCUCAAACGACCCGGCACCGGGCUACAAUAUUGAACAGAAGGCCAAGAAGGGCAAGUGCUACAUCCGCUUGCCCUACACGGUGAAGGGAAUGGACAUGUCAUUCACCGGCAUCCUCUCCUACAUCGAACAGCUUGUGCACCACCCUCAAUUCACUGACCCGGGUGUUUGCGAGGUGUCCAAAAAGCGGCGCAAGGCGGCACCGUCCCUGGCGAGCACGCCGGUGCCGCCCGGCGAGACCUUCAACACGGACGACAUCUGCUUCUCCCUGCAGGAGACGAUCUUCGCCAUGCUAGUCGAAGUGACGGAGCGCGCCAUGUCGCAAAUCAAAGCAUCUGACGUGCUCAUUGUCGGCGGGGUGGGCUGCAACAAGCGCCUGCAGGAGAUGAUGCAGCUGAUGGCGGCAGAGCGUGGGGGUCGCUGUUUCGACAUGGAUCAGCGAUACUGCAUCGACAAUGGCUGCAUGAUCGCGUAUGCCGGGCUCCUCCAGUAUCUGAGUGGGUCCUUCACGACCAUGGCAGAGGCGACUAUCACGCAGCGCUUUCGCACCGAUGAAGUUUACGUCGCGUGGCGCGAUUGAAUUGGGGCGUUGCCCACGCAUUCGUGCAUCAUCGCCCGUGGUGAUGGUGUUGCCUCCGUUGUGUUGGAGACGUUUCCUGUGCGUUGUUCGCCAUUCUCAACCGAGCCAUCCUUCCCCCUCCACUCCAG
Molecule: unclassified non-coding RNA, 1252 nt
Filed under: Leishmania donovani
Lineage: Eukaryota; Euglenozoa; Kinetoplastea; Trypanosomatida; Trypanosomatidae
Description: gene:LdHU3.31.0130(CDS-product:O-sialoglycoprotei n_endopeptidase_putative)
Source: RNAcentral